Thalassophryne amazonica is the source of this 184-nucleotide long non-coding RNA. RefSeq lists it as uncharacterized. The record is from RefSeq and is a predicted model, not a curated record. The transcript is spliced from 5 exons. NCBI's taxonomy places the organism in Eukaryota, Metazoa, Chordata, Actinopteri, Batrachoidiformes, Batrachoididae.
GUGUUUUAUUAUUUCCUCAGAGUCAUUCCCUGAAAAAUUGAGGGACCCAAAUUGUGUGUGUUACACUAAAAUGGACAAACACUACAACUGAAAACUAAACUACAACUACAGAAAAAUUCUGCAAUAAAUUCUACAUACCAGUUUAAUACACAUAAAACGUCUUACUUGAUCGAAAGAGCACACG